AGUACGGUCGCAAGAUUAAAACUCAAAGGAAUUGACGGGGACCCGCACAAGCGGUGGAGCGUGUUGUUUAAUUGGAUGGUAAGCCAAGAACCUUACCAAGGUUUGACAUUCUACGAAGGACUGCGAAAGCAGACUGUGCCUUUUGGAACGUAGUAACAGGUGCUGCAUGGCCGUCGUCAGCUCGUGUCGUGAGAUGUUGGGUUAAGUCCCGCAACGAGCGCAACCCUUGUGGCUAGUUGGAUUUUUCUAGUCAGACUGCCUCGGUAACGGGGAGGAAGGAGGGGAUGAUGUCAGGUCCUCAUUGCCCUUACACCUUGGGCUACAAACGCGCUACAAUGGCCGGUACAAAGGGCAGCUAAGUCGCGAGACGGAGCAAAUCCCAUCAAAGCCGGUCCCAGUUCGGAUAGCAGGCUGAAACUCGCCCGCUUGAAGUCGGAAUCGCUAGUAA
Molecule: ribosomal RNA, 448 nt
Filed under: uncultured Candidatus Saccharibacteria bacterium
Lineage: Bacteria; Candidatus Saccharimonadota
Description: bacterial SSU rRNA
Rfam family: Bacterial small subunit ribosomal RNA
Source: RNAcentral